AUAGCUGCAUGUAUUGUUAUUGAGCACAGACUUUCUGUGUUUUUUAUUUGUUUGAAGAACCUAACUAUGCAUUGAACAUAGAGCCACAAAUCUUUAGCGUGACAGUCCCUUCUCUCUUGUUGAAGGGGAGAAUCACUGAAGUCAUUGUGUAUUCCUCUUUGCAAUAUGCUUUCUGUGAGUAAAGGGACAGGAUAAUGAAACUUGGAACGCCUACCUGCCUCUCUCCAAAUUGCUUAAAGCCAACUCUGACUUUGUGAAGAAAUGAAGUUUUGAGAUGAAUGAGUUGGUGGGGAGGGGAAGGAAAGAGGAGGAACCAAGAACCGGAAAAACAGAUGAUUGCAACACACAACCAGCGACAGCUGUGCCCUGGAUACAUUUCAUGGCCGUUAAGGAUCAUUGGGCCCUUCACCUCUGUAGUGGCUUGAGGCUAUGGAUGCCAGAAAAACAUGUUCUAAAACCAAAUCCAUUCCUAUGGGGGUGAACCCAUUGUAAAUAGGACCUGGUAAUGAGGUUACUCCAGUUAAGUGUGGCCCAGUGGAAUCAGGAUGGCUUUUAAUCCUAUUACUGGAGUUCCUUAGAAGUAGAGUGAAAUUCAGACACAUGGAGAGAAGGCCCAGGUUGCAGCGAGAAGCUGGAAGUUAAUAAAGCUGAAAGAAAAGGGAAAAAUGAGGCGAGGCUGCUAUGUACAUUGCCAUGUAACAAAAAGCCAAGGACCAAGGAUUGCUGGCAGCCAGCUCCAGGGUGCCACAGUCUUCUGGGAGAAAGCAUUGCCUUGAUGACACCUUGAUCUUGGACUUCUCCUACCCUCAAAACCCAGAUCAUUCUCACCACCACGUGGAGUAUGAAUUAGAUUUGUGAAAGUUCCAACUUGUCUGAAGUUGUCGAAAUCACUGGGUUAACUGGCCUCCAAGGAAUAAUUAAAGACUUCCCGGGAUGCUAUGGCCCACUGCGCUAACUCACUCAGCAUCCUAAAGUGAAGAUGGCCAGCCAGGAGGCAUAUUGUGAUAUGGAUAUAUCCUUUGGUGUCUGUGCCAGUUUGUAUAUAUUAUGUCCCCCAGAAAAAGCCAUAUUAUUUGAUGCAAUCUUGUAGGGGUAGACAUAAUAGUGUUGAUUAGAUUGGAAUUCUUUGAUUGAGUGUUUCCAUGGAGAU
Choloepus didactylus (southern two-toed sloth) is the source of this 1150-nucleotide long non-coding RNA. RefSeq lists it as uncharacterized. The transcript has 3 exons. NCBI's taxonomy places the organism in Eukaryota, Metazoa, Chordata, Mammalia, Pilosa, Megalonychidae. The record is from RefSeq and is a predicted model, not a curated record.